UACGAAGGGGGCUAGCGUUGUUCGGAAUUACUGGGCGUAAAGCGCACGUAGGCGGAUUAGUAAGUUAGGGGUGAAAUCCCGGAGCUCAACUCCGGAACUGCCUUUAAUACUGCUAGUCUCGAGUUCGGGAGAGGUGUAUGGAACUCCUAGUGUAGAGGUGGAAUUCGUAGAUAUUAGGAAGAACACCAGUGGCGAAGGCGAUACACUGGCCCGAUACUGACGCUGAGGUGCGAAAGCGUGGGGAGCAAACAGGAUUAGAUACCCCGGUAGUCC
Molecule: ribosomal RNA, 273 nt
Filed under: uncultured bacterium
Lineage: Bacteria
Description: partial 16S ribosomal RNA
Rfam family: Bacterial small subunit ribosomal RNA
Source: RNAcentral